RNAcentral lists this long non-coding RNA (1209 nucleotides) under Populus trichocarpa (black cottonwood). RNAcentral describes it as "long non-coding RNA (PTRI_LNC004659)". The record is from RNAcentral. Lineage: Eukaryota; Viridiplantae; Streptophyta; Magnoliopsida; Malpighiales; Salicaceae.
GAAAGAAAUGUUGAGGGUUGCAGAGGCUGAAAACCAAAGAAAAAAGGAAGAAACAGAGAACAAAGACGUUUUGGGUGCUAACUUUCCAAUGCAGUUUUAUUAUUCUGAUUGUCUCAUUAACCUUACAAUGAAGAAACAGAAGGAAUAUAUAUACACGUAUCAAGGCUGAUGAGUCAGCCUUUCCCAUGCAAAAGGAAAUUAUUCCCACACCAGCAGCAUGGUUAACUAAGUUGUUAUAAAGGAAAAGAAUGCAUAACUGACUGUAGCUGAAAAACAGGGAAAACUAAUCAUCCUUUUUCUUUUAACAACUUUGCAUCCUCGUCCUUAUUCUUUAACAUCCCCCCGCAAGAUGGAGCAUAGUAGUUGACAAUGCCCAUCUUGGACAUAUGAAAAGAUAAUAGAUAGGCAGGUAAUGCUUUUGUGAAAACAUCUGCUAGUUGACACUUUGUAGAAACAUAUGCAGUCGAUAAGACACCUGCUUGGAUUUUGUCACGAAUAAGGUGACAAUCUAACUCAAUAUGCUUGGUUCUUUCGUGGAAAACAGGAUUCGAAGCAAUGUGUAAUGCAGCUUUGUUGUCACAGUAUAACACAGCGGGAUGAGGAUGAUUUAUGCGAAGAUCUGUUAGAAGAAAACUCAACCAAGUAAUUUCUGAGCUAGUGAUGGCCAUGGCACGAUACUCAGCUUCUGCUGAUGAACGGGAGACCACUGAUUGCUUCUUUGAUUUCCAAGAGAUUAAGGAUGAACCAAGGAAUAUGCAGAAACCAGAAACAGAACGUCUGGUGUCAGGAUAGGAUGCCCAGUCUGAAUCACAAUAUGCCGUGAUGUCCAGGUUAUGCUCAGAAGAAAAGAAAAGACCCUGCCCUGGAGCUCCUUUGAUGUAUUUCAGGAUCUUGAAAGCUGCAGCUAAGUGAAAAUCAGUGGGAUGAUCCAUGAAUUGACUGAGAGUUUGGACACUAUAAGAAAUGUCUGGCCUUGUUAUGGUCAAGUAUAAAAGUUUUCCAACAAGCUGCCUGUAGUAAGUAGAAUCAGAUAGAGGGGUGCCCUCCUCUUUACUGAGCUUUAAGUUUUGAUCCAUAGGGAGCUUAGAAGGUCGAGACCCGAGAACGCCAAAGGUAGCUAGAAUAUCUAAAGCAUAUUUCCUCUGACAAAUCUGUAUUCCUUGUGAUGUUCUGGCAAUUUCAAGUCCUAGAAAAUACCUCAAUUGUCCC